Molecule: ribosomal RNA, 1016 nt
Filed under: uncultured bacterium
Lineage: Bacteria
Description: bacterial SSU rRNA
Rfam family: Bacterial small subunit ribosomal RNA
Source: RNAcentral
AGGAAUAUUGGUCAAUGGACGAGAGUCUGAACCAGCCAAGUAGCGUGAAGGAUGACUGCCCUAUGGGUUGUAAACUUCUUUUAUACGGGAAUAAAGUGAGGCACGUGUGCCUUUUUGUAUGUACCUUAUGAAUAAGCAUCGGCUAACUCCGUGCCAGCAGCCGCGGUAAUACGGAGGAUGCGAGCGUUAUCCGGAUUUAUUGGGUUUAAAGGGAGCGCAGACGGGUCGUUAAGUCAGCUGUGAAAGUUUGGGGCUCAACCUUAAAAUUGCAGUUGAUACUGGCGUCCUUGAGUGCGGUUGAGGUGUGCGGAAUUCGUGGUGUAGCGGUGAAAUGCUUAGAUAUCACGAAGAACUCCGAUUGCGAAGGCAGCACACUAAUCCGUAACUGACGUUCAUGCUCGAAAGUGUGGGUAUCAAACAGGAUUAGAUACCCUGGUAGUCCACACGGUAAACGAUGGAUACUCGCUGUUGGCGAUAUACUGUCAGCGGCUUAGCGAAAGCGUUAAGUAUCCCACCUGGGGAGUACGCCGGCAACGGUGAAACUCAAAGGAAUUGACGGGGGCCCGCACAAGCGGAGGAACAUGUGGUUUAAUUCGAUGAUACGCGAGGAACCUUACCCGGGCUUAAAUUGCAAAGGAAUAAUCUGGAAACAGGUUAGUCUUCGGACCUUUGUGAAGGUGCUGCAUGGUUGUCGUCAGCUCGUGCCGUGAGGUGUCGGCUUAAGUGCCAUAACGAGCGCAACCCUCGCCGCCAGUUACUAACAGUUAAAGCUGAGGACUCUGGCGGGACUGCCAUCGUAAGAUGUGAGGAAGGUGGGGAUGACGUCAAAUCAGCACGGCCCUUACGUCCGGGGCUACACACGUGUUACAAUGGGCGGUACAGAAGGCAGCUACCUGGCGACAGGAUGCCAAUCCCUAAAGCCGCUCUCAGUUCGGACUGGAGUCUGCAACCCGACUCCACGAAGCUGGAUUCGCUAGUAAUCGCGCAUCAGCCACGGCGCGGUGAAUACGUUCCCG